UACGUAGGUGGCAAGCGUUGUCCGGAUUUAUUGGGUUUAAAGGGUGCGUAGGCGGUUCCAUAAGUCAGUGGUGAAGUACGGCAGCUUAACUGUCGAGGUGCCAUUGAUACUGCGGGACUUGAGUACAGACGAGGUAGGCGGAAUUGACGGUGUAGCGGUGAAAUGCGUAGAGAUCGUCAAGAACACCGAUAGCGAAGGCAGCUUACUAGACUGAAACUGACGCUGAGGCGCGAAAGUGUGGGGAGCAAACAGG
Molecule: ribosomal RNA, 253 nt
Filed under: uncultured bacterium
Lineage: Bacteria
Description: partial 16S ribosomal RNA
Rfam family: Bacterial small subunit ribosomal RNA
Source: RNAcentral